GGAUGUGAGGGCGAUCUGGCUGUGACAUCUGUCACCCCAUUGAUCGCCAGGGUUGAUUCGGCUGAUCUGGCUGGCUAGGCGGGUGUCCCCUUCCUCCCUCAACGAUCCAUGCGCAUCCCUCCCGAAGCUGCGCGCUCGGUCGAAGAGGAUGACCACCCCUGAUAGAGGAGGACCGUUCCUCGGUCAAGGAUAUAAUUUCACUUUAUCUAUUAUCUUUAUUUUGAUCACCAAAUAAAAAUAAUGGUAAUAUAUGUAUAUAUGGAUUAAUUACUAU
This 274-nucleotide small nuclear RNA is filed under the name Octodon degus (degu). Its description in RNAcentral is "7SK RNA (ENSODEG00000024516.1)". It matches the Rfam family "7SK RNA". From Rfam's summary of the family: 7SK was discovered as an abundant small nuclear RNA in the mid-70s but a possible function has only recently been suggested. Two independent studies have found that 7SK RNA binds the CDK9/cyclin T complex (known as elongation factor P-TEFb). P-TEFb activates transcription by phosphorylating the C-terminal domain of RNA polymerase II. Lineage: Eukaryota; Metazoa; Chordata; Mammalia; Rodentia; Octodontidae. The record is from RNAcentral.